GGGCGCAUAGCUCAGGGGUAGAGCACUCGCCUUACAAGCGAGGGGUCACUGGUUCGAACCCAGUUGCGCCCA
RNAcentral lists this transfer RNA (72 nucleotides) under Nocardiopsaceae bacterium. RNAcentral describes it as "tRNA-Val". It matches the Rfam family "tRNA". From Rfam's summary of the family: Transfer RNA (tRNA) molecules are approximately 80 nucleotides in length. Their secondary structure includes four short double-helical elements and three loops (D, anti-codon, and T loops). RNAcentral also lists the same sequence under 1 other name. The record is from RNAcentral. Lineage: Bacteria; Bacillati; Actinomycetota; Actinomycetes; Streptosporangiales; Nocardiopsidaceae.